GGACUACCAGGGUUUCUAAUCCUGUUUGCUACCCACGCUUUCGUGUCUCAGCGUCAGAAAAUGUCCAGAUAGCUGUCUACACCACAGGUGUUCCUCCUGAUAUCUACGCAUUUCACCGCUACACCAGGAAUUCCGCUAUCCUCUCCAUCCCUCGAGCACUCCAGUUUCCGCCGCACCCUCCCAGUUAAGCCGGGAGAUUUCACAACAGACUUAGAGCACCGCCUACACACUCUUUACGCCCAGUAAUUCCGAACAACGCUUGCUGCCUACGUAUUACCGCGGCUGCUGGCAC
RNAcentral lists this ribosomal RNA (292 nucleotides) under uncultured Acidobacteriota bacterium. Its description in RNAcentral is "uncultured Acidobacteria bacterium partial 16S ribosomal RNA". Lineage: Bacteria; Pseudomonadati; Acidobacteriota. The record is from RNAcentral.